CCUACGGGAGGCAGCAGUGAGGAAUAUUGGUCAAUGGCCGGAAGGCUGAACCAGCCAUGCCGCGUGAAGGUCAGUGCCCUAUGGGCGUUAAACUUCUUUUGUGCGGGAGCAAUAAUGGUCACGUGUGGCCAGACGAGAGUACCGUACGAAUAAGCAUCAGCUAACUCCGUGCCAGCAGCCGCGGUAAUACGGGGGAUGCAAGCGUUAUCCGGAUUUAUUGGGGUUAAAGGGUGCGUAGGCUGGGAGGUAAGUCAGCGGUGAAAUGCCGCCGCUCAACGGGGUGAAGUGCCAUUGAUACUGCCUUGCUGGAAUGCGGAUGCCGUGGGAGGAAUGUGUGGUGUAGCGGUGAAAUGCAUAGAUAUCACACAGAACACCGAUUGCGAAGGCAUCUCACGAAUCCGCGAUUGACGCUGAUGCACGAAAGCGUGGGUAUCAAACAGGAUUAGAUACCCGAGUAGUC
Molecule: ribosomal RNA, 460 nt
Filed under: uncultured bacterium
Lineage: Bacteria
Description: partial 16S ribosomal RNA
Rfam family: Bacterial small subunit ribosomal RNA
Source: RNAcentral